UGGGGAAUUUUGGACAAUGGGGGAAACCCUGAUCCAGCCAUCCCGCGUGUGCGAUGAAGGCCUUCGGGUUGUAAAGCACUUUUGGCAGGAAAGAAACGUCAUGGGUUAAUACCCCGUGAAACUGACGGUACCUGCAGAAUAAGCACCGGCUAACUACGUGCCAGCAGCCACGGUAAUACGUAGGGUGCAAGCGUUAAUCGGAAUUACUGGGCGUAAAGCGUGCGCAGGCGGUUCGGAAAGAAAGAUGUGAAAUCCCAGAGCUCAACUUUGGAACUGUAUUUUUAACUCCCGGGCUAGAGUGUUUCAGAGGGAGGUGGAAUUCCGCGUGUAGCAGUAAAAUGCGUAGAUAUGCGGAGGAACACCGAUGGCGAAGGCAGCCUCCUGGAAUAACACUGACGCUCAUGCACGAAAGCGUGGGGAGCAAACAGG
Molecule: ribosomal RNA, 429 nt
Filed under: Acidobacteriota bacterium
Lineage: Bacteria; Pseudomonadati; Acidobacteriota
Description: Acidobacteria bacterium partial 16S ribosomal RNA
Rfam family: Bacterial small subunit ribosomal RNA
Source: RNAcentral